CUCGCAUCACCCUUCCCGCCUCCUCCCACCCCUCCCCUUUCUCCUCCCACUUCCUCCUUCCUUCUCCCUCUCGAGAAGGACCCGAAAAGCUGGAGUCGGCUUCUGCUGUCCCUGGAGUGGCCUGUGCACACCAGUCCCCUCCCUGCCCCUGGACAGCCACCCUGCUCCUGCCGGGCUGCAAGCUGCGAGGCCUUCAGAUCGGGGCACCCUUGGACCUGGCCUCCUUCAAGAGGCAGGGGCACAGACCUCCGCGACUAAGGUCCAGCGGGACUUGUAUCCCGUCCUCGUCUAGACGGUCUAGAAGAGGCUUCCGCCCUUCCCUGGCUCUCCACUCUCCUGCUUUGGGUGUCCAAGGACAGGACCUCCAGCCUAGCUUCCCGAGGCCAAACCUCUCCCUCUCUCUCUGCCCCAAAAGCCACCUCCCAAUCUUCCUGAGAGCCUGAUGCUCCCUUAAAAUCUGCUGCCCCCAGCUCUCCACUGUCCAUUGUGAAUCGGCCACAGGGUUUUGCGGUCUCCCCACAACCGAGGCAGCCGAGGACCCAUGGCUGUCAAGAUCACAGAAGGAUUCCACUUGCCACUUCUGCCCAUCGCUUCACCAAGUGAGGAACCCCAGUUUUCUACCUCUUCCGCCAAGCUUGUAAUGUUCAUGUUAAAAGAUAACCAACAGAACAGGGCACAGUAUUGUCCUGGGUUUUUGCCUCCCAAAAAAAAGUAGGGAAGCCACGGGCUGGCCAGAGAGUUGUAUUUUGUGAAUUCGCGUAGGUUUUUCGGGAAGGGAUCAGGGUGGAAGGGGUCUUUCCAAAACCUCUCUCAACCCUCCCACAUGACCUGAGACCAGAGAGGGGCUGCAAGCUGGGUGAGGAAGGGAGUUUGAGAAGGGCGAUUGCACAGAGAGCUUUGCCACGGGAAGCAGUGAGAACAUGCCAUCCCUCAGUACCCCUGAAUGAAGCCUACUGUUCUUCCUCCAAGACUGAAUAAAAAUGUAUUCUACGCUCAGAUCCACCAGACAAAGAAGGAAUAUAGCAACAAAGCAGGGGAGAGAUGAAAAUGGGCAGUCGGCUGUUCAUUCACAUACAUGUAGUUCAUCUGCAAGGCUUCCAAGAAAGCAGCCGCACACCAAAUCCUUUCCGACGCUGCUGUAUCUGAGCCUCCUGUGAGAUAAUCCUCUUAAUGGAAUAUUUAAGAAAUCGGAUAUAAAUCACCAACCUUUUAUCUCACCUGAAGAUCCAUACUCCAUUGGACGGAUGGCGUAUAUGUCUCUCUCCAUACGGAUGGGUGCAGGUGACUUUUCGAGCGGAGGUGGCAAUCUCUGCUUUUUUUAUUUUGAAGAUAGGGUUGUAAAGUUAUAAAUUUUAGAGAUCAGAGCCCAGAAAACAGCUGCACCUAGAGACAAUUAAAACACACAUCCCUUGGAAAAAACCUUUUUUGUCAUUUGCAACCAACAGAAAUGCCUGUUAUUGUGAUGUGCUCAUAAAUAACUUGAUUUUGGCAUAUGCUUUUGUACCAAACAGAAGAUGAAUAAAUUAAAUUUGAUUUACAACCUUUUUCAUUUUUAUUAGCACUGCUCUGAAGAGUUUAUGUAAGGGACGUGCCAGAGCAGUUAUGCCAAAUGUUUUAAGGCGUUGGUAUUGAUAUUAUAUAAAUUAAGGUGUUUUAAUUUGCAUUCUUUAAUUAACUAAAUACUGGCAGAAAAAUAAAACACAAGGGCAGCGCUGACUUAUUGCCUCUGUUAAACUGCUGACGUCUCUGAAAAGAUGCUUUAAGUAAUCCAAUUCAUGCAGAGUGGGGGAGGAAGGGGUAUUAACACUCUCUUAUUUGGCAAAACACAUUGGAGUUGAAGAAACCAAUAUCCUGCUUUGUUUGCACAGUGGUUGAGGUGGUGGGUGUGUUUUUAGACAGCCUGCGUUCGUGUCCCCAAGGAAGAAGUUGACCAAAUGUCUUAACUAUGCACCCUGCCCAGGUCUGAGCGGAGGGGCCAAAGGGGAGCCCAGCCCUGCCACUGGGUAUAAGCAGGUUCCUGGGUGCAGGGUCCUGCAGACCUGGGCUAUAUCACUGCCAUUCUAAAAAGAGACAAGCUGGUUGAAUUAAUACAGUAGAUCCCAUGUCAACAUGAUCAUGUCCAGAAACCAAGGAGAGAA
Molecule: long non-coding RNA, 2138 nt
Organism: Acinonyx jubatus (cheetah)
Lineage: Eukaryota; Metazoa; Chordata; Mammalia; Carnivora; Felidae
Exons: 3
Source: RefSeq, a predicted model, not a curated record